GACGAACGCUUGCGGCGUGCUUAACACAUGCAAGUCGAACGGAAAGGCCCUGCUUUUGUGGGGUGCUCGAGUGGCGAACGGGUGAGUAACACGUGAGUAACCUGCCCUUGACUUUGGGAUAACUUCAGGAAACUGGGACUAAUACCGGAUAGGAGCUCCUGCUGCAUGGUGGGGGUUGGAAAGUUUCGGCGGUUGGGGAUGGACUCGCGGCUUAUCAGCUUGUUGGUGGGGUAGUGGCUUACCAAGGCUUUGACGGGUAGCCGGCCUGAGAGGGUGACCGGCCACAUUGGGACUGAGAUACGGCCCAGACUCCUACGGGAGGCAGCAGUGGGGAAUAUUGCACAAUGGGCGGAAGCCUGAUGCAGCAACGCCGCGUGCGGGAUGACGGCCUUCGGGUUGUAAACCGCUUUCGCCUGUGACGAAGCGUGAGUGACGGUAAUGGGUAAAGAAGCACCGGCUAACUACGUGCCAGCAGCCGCGGUGAUACGUAGGGUGCGAGCGUUGUCCGGAUUUAUUGGGCGUAAAGGGCUCGUAGGUGGUUGAUCGCGUCGGAAGUGUAAUCUUGGGGCUUAACCCUGAGCGUGCUUUCGAUACGGGUUGACUUGAGGAAGGUAGGGGAGAAUGGAAUUCCUGGUGGAGCGGUGGAAUGCGCAGAUAUCAGGAGGAACACCAGUGGCGAAGGCGGUUCUCUGGGCCUUUCCUGACGCUGAGGAGCGAAAGCGUGGGGAGCGAACAGGCUUAGAUACCCUGGUAGUCCACGCUGUAAACGGUGGGUACUAGGUGUGGGGUCCAUUCCACGGGUUCCGUGCCGUAGCUAACGCUUUAAGUACCCCGCCUGGGGAGUACGGCCGCAAGGCUAAAACUCAAAGGAAUUGACGGGGCCCCGCACAAGCGGCGGAGCAUGCGGAUUAAUUCGAUGCAACGCGUAGAACCUUACCUGGGUUUGACAUGGAUCGGGAGUGCUCAGAGAUGGGUGUGCCUCUUUUGGGGUCGGUUCACAGGUGGUGCAUGGCUGUCGUCAGCUCGUGUCGUGAGAUGUUGGGUUAAGUCCCGCAACGAGCGCAACCCUUGUUCACUGUUGCCAGCACGUUAUGGUGGGGACUCAGUGGAGACCGCCGGGGUCAACUCGGAGGAAGGUGGGGAUGACGUCAAGUCAUCAUGCCCCUUAUGUCCAGGGCUUCACGCAUGCUACAAUGGCUGGUACAGAGAGUGGCGAGCCUGUGAGGGUGAGCGAAUCUCGGAAAGCCGGUCUCAGUUCGGAUUGGGGUCUGCAACUCGACCUCAUGAAGUCGGAGUCGCUAGUAAUCGCAGAUCAGCAACGCUGCGGUGAAUACGUUCCCGGGGCU
This 1346-nucleotide ribosomal RNA is filed under the name uncultured bacterium. RNAcentral describes it as "partial 16S ribosomal RNA". It matches the Rfam family "Bacterial small subunit ribosomal RNA", at positions 28 to 1381 of the family's 1533-position model. The record is from RNAcentral.